This 68-nucleotide transfer RNA is filed under the name Marmota monax (woodchuck). Its description in RNAcentral is "tRNA.Ala". Lineage: Eukaryota; Metazoa; Chordata; Mammalia; Rodentia; Sciuridae. The record is from RNAcentral.
GAUGUGGCCUAAGCGGUAGCGCGCUCGCCUGGCAUGUGUGUGGCCUGGGUUUGAUCCUCAGCACAACA